Molecule: unclassified non-coding RNA, 251 nt
Filed under: plant metagenome
Description: partial contains small subunit ribosomal RNA, internal transcribed spacer 1, and 5.8S ribosomal RNA
Rfam family: 5.8S ribosomal RNA (bases 203-251)
Source: RNAcentral
UCUCCGUUGGUGAACCAGCGGAGGGAUCAUUACAGAGUUGCAAAACUCCCAAACCAUUGUGAACGUUACCUAUCCCGUUGCUUCGGCGGGCGGCCCGGGCCCCGCGCCCGGCGCCCCCCGGCCCCCCGUGGGCGCCCGCCGGAGGUAAACCAAACCCUUGAAUUGCAUGGCCUCUCUGAGUCUUCUGUACUGAAUAAGUCAAAACUUUCAACAACGGAUCUCUUGGUUCCGGCAUCGAUGAAGAGCGCAGC